Glycine soja is the source of this 1353-nucleotide long non-coding RNA. RefSeq lists it as uncharacterized. The record is from RefSeq and is a predicted model, not a curated record. The transcript is spliced from 3 exons. NCBI's taxonomy places the organism in Eukaryota, Viridiplantae, Streptophyta, Magnoliopsida, Fabales, Fabaceae.
AUUUUUUUGUUCUUUCAUGAAUCUCUUCAAGGGCCCAAGUGUGAAUGCUCAUUCAGAUGAUAAUAAUCCCAAUAAUGUGUCAUCUGAAAAGAAAUCUACAGAAGAUUCAUGUGCAUUUCGUGGGAAAUCUGAUCCCGCAUGGGGCAUUUUACAUAUAAAAAAGAGGGAAAAACUAAUGUGUACACUUGUAUGCAUUGUGUUUAGUCUUUUAGAGGAGGUGGCUUAUACAUAAUGAAACUACAUCUUGCGGGCAUACCGGGUGAAAUAGCUCCUUGCAAAAAAGUCUUUCAUGAUAUUAGUCACCAAAUGUAGCAACUAAUUAAAUAAAUCAAAGACAAAAAUAAGAGGGUUUAACUAGAAGAUGCAUACAAAGAUGACACUAUUGAAGAUGAAGUACAAGAAGUCCAACCUUCCACAAAUGUGGGUAAGAGUAAGACACCCUUAACUACUCAAAACAGAGGAAAAAAGAAAGCCAUUGUUGAAGCUAGUAGUUAUUUUGCUACAAGGACUACUCCUGGCUCCCAAGUAGGUAUGAAAAUGUAUUCACAACUAAGGAAGCAAAAUGCAAAGCUAGCAUGGCAUGUGCUUGAUGGAUGUAUGAUGCUUGCAUCCCACUUAAUGCAAUACAUUCACCAUACUAUGCACUUAUUUUAGAUGCAAUUAGUGCUAUUGGUCCAGGUUUUAAAGGUCCAUCUUAUCAUGAUUUAAGAAUUAUCCUGUUGGGAAAUUGCAAGAGAGAGUGUUAAUUAGUUGUGGAAGGUUAUCAAGCAAAUUGGGCUAACGGUGGAUUCACAAUUAUGGCUGGACUAAUCAAAGACAAAGAACUUUGAUUAACUUUCUAGUUUAUUGUCCAACAGAGAUACAAUAAAAGGCUUGGAAGAGGAUUGAAAAAUUGGAGCUUCACGCUCAGCAUGACAACCUCGCUCAACGCAUCAGGACUACUUAGCCCAAGAAGUCCCGCUUUGUGCAAGAAGUCACCUUGGAAGCCAGCUAUCAUGUGCAAGCGUGCACCCAACGACUUAGUGCAUGGUCACUUAAGCCAGCUAAACAUGACAUGCGCACUCAGCACGUGCAUCUGACUUAGUGCACAGUCAAUUUCAGAAAACAUGAUUGUGCUGUGUUUUAAAGAGAACAAAGGAUGGAACUUAAAAUUCAUUCAUUUAGCAAUGGAAGAGAUCGUUAAGGCACAGAAAGAAAGGGAACCCACUCAUUUUGAAGCAUCUCUCUUCCAUUUUUCUUCCACCCACUUCCAUUUCCUCUAGUCCCUUUUUUGUAUUUGCAAGCCUCUCAUGACAAUGAGAGGCUAACCUCCCAUUGUUGGGAGCUCAACAACCAAACACUCUUGAUGUAAUG